This 253-nucleotide ribosomal RNA is filed under the name uncultured bacterium. RNAcentral describes it as "partial 16S ribosomal RNA". It matches the Rfam family "Bacterial small subunit ribosomal RNA", at positions 524 to 776 of the family's 1533-position model. The record is from RNAcentral.
UACGUAGGGGUCGAGCGUUGUCCGGAUUUAUUGGGCGUAAAGAGCGUGUAGGCGGCCAUGCAGGUCCGUUGUGAAAACUCGAGGCUCAACCUCGAGACGCCGAUGGAAACCGCAUGGCUAGAGUCCGGAAGAGGAGAGUGGAAUUCCUGGUGUAGCGGUGAAAUGCGCAGAUAUCAGGAAGAACACCCGUGGCUAAGGCGGCUCUCUAGUACGGUACUGACGCUGAGACGCGAAAGCGUGGGGAGCGAACAGG